AUUUCGCGUAGUGUGUAGAUCUGUGUGAAUAUGUGCGUCGUGUGCGUUCAGAUCCCCGAGCUGUCAUUUAACAGCUGAUGUUUACAUAUUUUUGCUUUCUUUAGUCAGGUUUGACGCCUGCCUUGCCAACAUUCCGCUCUACCAGAAAACUAUGUAUGGAUUCAUCAUUUCACCGGUUGAUGUGCAUGAAAUUGUUACUGACAAAGUCGGGUAGAACGUGAAGGUUCAGCUAGUGAUGAGAACGGAGCUUGUGUUGAUUCACGAUGAUGGAGAUUGCUUGCGGAAGGGUUAUAUAAACGAUGAAUCAGAGAGUGUCAAAUCGUGAAUGCACUAAAUUUUAUGUAUUGCAAAUCGCUGGUCGAACGUUCCAUUCUGGGGAUAAUUAAAGUUUAUGAGAGUCACAGAUCAGUGAGACUGCGGCACACUGAAAGAGCGUUGAUAUUUCUGUUGGAGAUCAAUUCGAUUUGGAAGCCUUUGUAGGAUCAGUUGUAUUUACUGCCGAACGGUGCCUUUUCCUGUGAUUACACUUUCAGCCAACGGCAGUGGCAUUGCUAAAAUUGGUAUCUUUGCGUAACCGUAAAAUCAGCACAACAAACUGAAAGCGUAAGAAUGCUGUUGUAACUGAAAUUGACUGUUAUUUUAUCGCCCUCGAAACUAAUUUUCAUCGACAUAUACCAGCUACUAACGACCAGCGCGCAAGACUUCCAUUCUGAAUCGAACAUUGUGUUUACUAUUCUUGAGUAACUUGGAACAGGAGCUAUACAUUCGAAGCACGACGAGACACCCAUUAUAUCCGGUCAAAUUCUGAGCUAAAUGCUGUAAACUUGUCAUUCUUCCAAUUCCUACACACCGACCGGACUACUGGAUUCUUGUAACCAGCGACGCGGAUAUUGUUUUGUCUCAUCUGUUUUAAACAACACUCAAGUUAGUACGCUUCCAAGCAUAUCCAUGUUAUGGUUCGGUAUGGCCGAACGGUUAUCGAAGGGAGUUAAUUGAGGCUGUAUAAUCUGUAUAACGUGUUUAACGUUAGCAUUUUCGUUCAGAAUCUAACCAGCCUUGAUGAAUUAUAUAUUAUAGCUAGUGGGGAUACCACAAUUACUUUUCUUCCUGCUUCUGAUAUUACAAUGCAGCAAAAUGUGAAUUGAGAAUUAAUGCGUUCAGAAAAUCUCGGUCGACUGACUGGUCACAAAAGAGUUGGGAAGAAGAUGCUGAUUUCGAUGACAGCUACGAAGCAUAUUCCAAUCAACUCGGAAUAGAAUACUUAGAGACAAGGAAGGUCGAUUUGGGUGUUAUUCCGGAAGCGG
Topomyia yanbarensis is the source of this 1304-nucleotide long non-coding RNA. RefSeq lists it as uncharacterized. The record is from RefSeq and is a predicted model, not a curated record. The transcript has 3 exons. Lineage: Eukaryota; Metazoa; Arthropoda; Insecta; Diptera; Culicidae.